UACGGAGGGAGCUAGCGUUGUUCGGAAUUACUGGGCGUAAAGCGCACGUAGGCGGCUUUCUAAGUCGGGGGUGAAAUCCUGGAGCUCAACUCCAGAACUGCCUUCGAUACUGGCGACCUUGAGUCCGGGAGAGGUGAGUGGAACUCCGAGUGUAGAGGUGAAAUUCGUAGAUAUUCGGAAGAACACCAGUGGCGAAGGCGGCUCACUGGCCCGGUACUGACGCUGAGGUGCGAAAGCGUGGGGAGCAAACAGG
RNAcentral lists this ribosomal RNA (253 nucleotides) under uncultured bacterium. RNAcentral's name for it is "partial 16S ribosomal RNA". It matches the Rfam family "Bacterial small subunit ribosomal RNA", at positions 524 to 776 of the family's 1533-position model. The record is from RNAcentral.